GCCACUUAUUCCAUCAAAAUUGAGGGGAAACCAUACACUUUCCUGCUUGAAAAACAGUCAUUUUUACACCCACAUUUCCUGGUGUAUUUAUACAAUGAAUCAGGAACAUUGUAUGCAGAUUCUUCAUUUUCAAAGGGUCAUUGCUUUUACCAAGGAUAUGCUGCAGACAUUCCAAAAUCAGUUGUGGCACUACGCACCUGUUCUGGACUCAGGGGAUUACUGCAGUUAGAUAAUAUCAGUUAUGGUAUUGAACCACUGGAAUCUUCACCUACAUAUGAGCAUGUAGUUUAUCGAAUUAAAAAUGAUGCUAUUGGUCAUUCCUCCUUUCAAGAAAAUUAUCCUGUGGCUCAAUAUACAGAUCAGUCCUACAGGAUUCUUGUCAAAUCAGACACAAAUUCAGGUGCCAUGCUAUCGAAAAGAACUCUGAAAAUACAAAUCAUUAUGGAUAAAGCAAUG
This 456-nucleotide small RNA is filed under the name Pongo abelii (Sumatran orangutan). RNAcentral's name for it is "processed transcript". Lineage: Eukaryota; Metazoa; Chordata; Mammalia; Primates; Hominidae. The record is from RNAcentral.